This is a non-coding RNA of Flavobacteriaceae bacterium JJC, 108 nucleotides long. The record is from Rfam. NCBI's taxonomy places the organism in Bacteria, Pseudomonadati, Bacteroidota, Flavobacteriia, Flavobacteriales, Flavobacteriaceae.
UAGGGUGGUUUUAGCAGAGGGGCUCACCUGUUCCCAUUCCGAACACAGAAGUUAAGCCCUCUAGCGCCGAUGGUACUGCGAAAGCGGGAGAGUAGGUCGCCGCCAGUU